AGAGUUUGAUCCUGGCUCAGGAUAAACGCUGGCGGCGUGCAUGAGACAUGCAAGUCGAACGGAUCUUCCGGGCUUGCUCGGAAGGUUAGUGGCGAACGGCUGAGUAACGCGUAGGUGACCUGCCCCGAAGUGGGGAAUAACUGCCCGAAAGGGUGGCUAAUACCGCAUGUGAUCGAUUGUUCGCUCAAUCGAUCAAAGCCGCAAGGCGCUUCGGGAGGGGCCUGCGUCCGAUUAGCUCGUUGGUGGGGUAACGGCUCACCAAGGCGACGAUCGGUAGGUGGUCUGAGAGGACGAUCACCCAGACUGGGACUGAGACACGGCCCAGACUCCUACGGGAGGCAGCAGUCGGGAAUUUUGCCCAAUGGACGAAAGUCUGAGGCAGCAACGCCGCGUGAGGGAUGAAGGCCUUCGGGUUGUAAACCUCUUUUCUCAGGGACGAUGAUGACGGUACCUGAGGAAUAAGCCACGGCAAACUACGUGCCAGCAGCCGCGGUAAUACGUAGGUGGCGAGCGUUGUCCGGAUUUACUGGGCGUAAAGAGCGCGCAGGCGGUCGGUCAAGUCGGAUGUGAAAGCCCCCGGCUCAACUGGGGAGGGUCAUUCGAUACUGAUCGACUUGAAGGCAGGAGAGGGAAGCGGAAUUCCCGGUGUAGUGGUGAAAUGCGUAGAUAUCGGGAGGAACACCAGAGGCGAAGGCGGCUUCCUGGCCUGUUCUUGACGCUGAGGCGCGAAAGCCAGGGGAGCGAACGGGAUUAGAUACCCCAGUAGUCC
Molecule: ribosomal RNA, 769 nt
Filed under: uncultured Chloroflexota bacterium
Lineage: Bacteria; Bacillati; Chloroflexota
Description: bacterial SSU rRNA
Rfam family: Bacterial small subunit ribosomal RNA
Source: RNAcentral